RNAcentral lists this ribosomal RNA (463 nucleotides) under uncultured bacterium. Its description in RNAcentral is "bacterial SSU rRNA". It matches the Rfam family "Bacterial small subunit ribosomal RNA", at positions 1 to 507 of the family's 1533-position model. The record is from RNAcentral.
CGUACGAUACGUAGUUUGAUCAUGGCUCAGAACGAACGCUGGCGGCAGGCCUAACACAUGCAAGUCGAGCGAUCCUUUCGGGGAUAGCGGCGGACGGGUGAGUAACGCGUGGGAACGUACCCUUUGCUACGGAAUAGCCUCGGGAAACUGGGAGUAAUACCGUAUGUGCCCUUCGGGGGAAAGAUUUAUCGGCAAAGGAUCGGCCCGCGUUGGAUUAGGUAGUUGGUGGGGUAAUGGCCUACCAAGCCGACGAUCCAUAGCUGGUUUGAGAGGAUGAUCAGCCACACUGGGACUGAGACACGGCCCAGACUCCUACGGGAGGCAGCAGUGGGGAAUCUUAGACAAUGGGGGCAACCCUGAUCUAGCCAUGCCGCGUGAGUGAUGAAGGCCCUAGGGUUGUAAAGCUCUUUCAGCUGGGAAGAUAAUGACGGUACCAGCAGAAGAAGCCCCGGCUAACUCCGUG